UACGUAGGUGGCGAGCGUUGUCCGGAUUUAUUGGGCGUAAAGCGCCCGCAGGCGGCCUGACAAGUUUCAGGUGAAAUCUCCCGGCUUAACUGGGAGGGGUCCUGGAAAACUGUCAGGCUUGAGGCAGGGAGAGGGAUGUGGAAUUCCCGGUGUAGUGGUGAAAUGCGUAGAUAUCGGGAGGAACACCAGUGGCGAAGGCGGCAUCCUGGCCCUGUCCUGACGCUCAGGGGCGAAAGCGUGGGGAGCAAACCGG
Molecule: ribosomal RNA, 253 nt
Filed under: uncultured bacterium
Lineage: Bacteria
Description: partial 16S ribosomal RNA
Rfam family: Bacterial small subunit ribosomal RNA
Source: RNAcentral